CUCUCUGUCUCCAAUAAAUAAAUAAAAAUAAAAUAAUUAUUUAGCCCCUUUCAGGAACAUAGCAACUUAGAAGAAAACCUGGCAUGCCUAGGGUCCUUGGAGUGCAUGGGAUGUGUAUUUCCUUUGCCUUCCUUUGGCUGCCUACAUCA
Molecule: small nucleolar RNA, 149 nt
Organism: Jaculus jaculus (lesser Egyptian jerboa)
Lineage: Eukaryota; Metazoa; Chordata; Mammalia; Rodentia; Dipodidae
Source: Ensembl